GCCGGGCGCGGUGGCUCACGCCUGUAAUCCCAGCAUUUUGGGAGGCUGAGGCGGGUGGAUCACCUGAGGUCAGGAGUUCGAGACCAGCCUGGCCAACAUGGUGAAACCCCGUCUCUA
Molecule: unclassified non-coding RNA, 117 nt
Organism: Pongo abelii (Sumatran orangutan)
Lineage: Eukaryota; Metazoa; Chordata; Mammalia; Primates; Hominidae
Rfam family: Metazoan signal recognition particle RNA
About the family: The signal recognition particle (SRP) is a universally conserved ribonucleoprotein.
Source: Ensembl